AUACGAAGGGUGCAAGCGUUACUCGGAAUUACUGGGCGUAAAGCGUGCGUAGGUGGUUGUUUAAGUCUGUCGUGAAAGCCCUGGGCUCAACCUGGGAAUGGCGAUGGAAACUGGGCGACUAGAGUGUGGCAGAGGGUAGUGGAAUUCCUGGUGUAGCAGUGAAAUGCGUAGAGAUCAGGAGGAACAUCCGUGGCGAAGGCGACUGCCUGGGCCAACACUGACACUGAGGCACGAAAGCGUGGGGAGCAAACAGGAUUAGAUACCCUGGUAGUCCACGCCCUAAACGAUGCGAACUGGAUGUUGGGUACAAUUUGGCACGCAGUAUCGAAGCUAACGCGUUAAGUUCGCCGCCUGGGGAGUACGGUCGCAAGACUGAAACUCAAAGGAAUUGACGGGG
Molecule: ribosomal RNA, 397 nt
Filed under: uncultured bacterium
Lineage: Bacteria
Description: partial 16S ribosomal RNA
Rfam family: Bacterial small subunit ribosomal RNA
Source: RNAcentral